CUUGCUCCAUGGCUGCUGCUGUCCCUGUGGUUGGCGUGCUCCGGUUAGCAUUCGGGAAAAAUUAAUGAUUAAACUGCUUCAUAACCCAAACAAACCCAGCCGAUUGAACCUACCUCAUCUCCGUGAAUAUCCACUCAGCGGGAAAAAGAGGACUUAAUGUACGUUGUAUUGGAGAAGGAAUCCUCUCCCGGGACCCAGCGCUGACCCCCCACCUUAUCCUCAGCCACCGCAACAACCGCACACCAGCUCUGCUCCCUCUGCACCCCCUCCCUCUCCUGAGCCUGCCGCUGCCUCCUCUCCUACCACCCCAACACAACAGACAUCACUAUUCUUUCUGGCUGUCAAAUUCCACGGGAAGAGGACGCCUCAACAAUAAGUUGGAUGUGUCCCCAAAGAGGAGGAACAGUCUCCACUCUUCCUCCUCCUCCCAUGCCAUGCCUGUUCCAUCCUUGAGGAGGGUUCUCAGCCUCCUAAGAAAGGGGGUGAGCGCCGGACAGUCCAGGAACAUGUGCUCUAUGGUUUCCUCCGCUGCUCCGCAGAUAGCACAGCCCCUGGCAAAGACCUCCUUAUUUAUCUGAUGCAGCACGAUCCCAGGGUCUGUCUUUCUGUGUCUUUGUCUAAAGUCGGUGUUAUAGACAUUGCCAGGGGCUGUGCUCCUCCUUAGGGUGGCCCAGAUACGUUCUCCCCGCAGGCCGGGGAAGGCCCUCCCCCAUGCCCGGUCAGCUGCUGGGGCUCUCCGUCUACCGUGGACAAACAUCUGGUAGAGGGCCUUCGUCUUGAUGUCACUAAGGUUGGCUCCGGCCUGCGGGAGAGAGAACUCGCACACAUUCCCGUUAGUUGGUGCUGGCUGCCUCUUCUCCCCCAGUAGCUUAAGCCACCGCUGAGGGAUGGAGGCAGCCAGCUUAGCACACACCUCCUGGAUUGCACCUUUCCUGUGCCUCACCCCCUUCUUCCUCAGAAUGGUCAGGAUCUCCGCAGCAUCGAGGCCACCGGCUUGGGUGACAACGUCCCCCAGCCUGACUAAACCAGCCCUCUCCAUCACGGCGCAGACCACCUCCUUCCCUCCCCAGGUAAUCUCUGGGUUAUUGAAGAGGGGCUGCGCCCUCGCCUGGAGGACGUUGUCCACCCUAGCCUCCAGCAGAGGCCUCAACCCAGCCCACGCUGUCAUGAUCUCCUCCGCCAGAGAGUCGGUCACCCCCGCGCUCACGGAGGAGCGCCUCCGGCAGAGUGCCCAGAGGCCCAAAGGCGGCCCGAGAUGCAGGUCCUGCAUGAGAAAGUGUUUCCAUAUGAAGCUGUUGCUGUCGGGUGUUAUGAUUUUUUUGACCAGUUUGACUCUUGGUGCGUGUUUUCUGCAGUCUAAGCUGACUAGCCUCAGGCCGCCUUUGUCCUCCGGCUGGAUCAUGACAUCGUGGGCUACCUGGUUCAUCUUUGACCCCCACAGGAAGCUGCCGAUGACCUCGUUGAUGUUCUUUUCCCGCUGCGGAGACAGGGGACAGACAGCCAGCACAUGGUUCACCAAAGAGAGCACUAAUCGCCAGUAG
Parambassis ranga (Indian glassy fish) is the source of this 1541-nucleotide long non-coding RNA. The record is from Ensembl. NCBI's taxonomy places the organism in Eukaryota, Metazoa, Chordata, Actinopteri, Ambassidae.